AACGUGAUGCUAUUUGAAUGGCGUUGCCAUGACGUUAAAGUCUGGAUUUUAUUAAAGUCUAGACUUUAAGGUUUAUAAGCACGGGAUCUGGUACACAGUUAGCUGCAUAACGUUCAUUACGUCGCUUGUAUACCCUCACUCUUCCGUCGGCUUGACGAAGCAUGAAUCGGUAGUCAUCGCUAAAGGCAACUCUUCUCCAUUGUUGAACACGUCAUAACCUGCAUCGUCAGCACCAAAGAAGCCGUUGUUGACACGAUGUUCCUGUGUUAGUAUUCUUCUUCUAGCAGACCUUCUUGGUCGAAUACCAGCUCCACGUAGACGGGUUUUUUAUAGUUUGAUCGGAAAUCCUACGCUGUCCAGAUUUAAUGGCUGCUGUGAACGGCGCUUGUAACAGACCCGUCGCAGAAGCGUGCGCCACAAAACUUAUGGCUGAUUUUCAAGCUGCUGGAAACAACACAGCUAAAGGUGCACAGCCAUGCAGAUGUUCUUCGCACGUAUGAAGCCGACAGGUUGUGAAAAUAUACCGAAAUGUAGGCUACUGAACGCAAAGUUUAAAGCAACGCUUCAAAAAUACGGUUGUAGUAAGAGUGAAACGGAGUGUGUUGCUUUAAUUACUUUUAUACAUAUUGUUGUAGCGUGUAUGAUGUAAUAUGAUAUUUUUGGUUCGGUUUCAAGUGUUUAGCCUAAGGAAUAUGUAUUAAGUCACACAUUAUCACAUCAUCAUCUUGAAUCAUAGCUCUUAACAUCAGCACUUGCCUUUCUUUUCUGCGUUUUUCUCAUUGUUUUAAUAGCCCAUGUUUUCCAAGCUAUUUUAGAGUUACAAAAUUGUAAAACCAUCGUAGUCUAUGACGUCACUAUAGCAUUAUCGUUAAUUCUUGGAAGAAUUCUAAAGUUAGUAUUCGUUAUUAUCCGAUAUUUUAUUUGUGUUUCAUUUAAUUCAUGUUAGCUUAUGUUCGUGCUUAUAUCCAAUUAAGGUUCAAGCACGCUGUCCUGGGCACACCCC
Gigantopelta aegis is the source of this 1003-nucleotide long non-coding RNA. RefSeq lists it as uncharacterized. NCBI's taxonomy places the organism in Eukaryota, Metazoa, Mollusca, Gastropoda, Neomphalida, Peltospiridae. The record is from RefSeq and is a predicted model, not a curated record. The transcript has 4 exons.